AUGGUACUCUAUCUACAUACUCUUACAAGAAACAACCAACGAGUUAUGGGAACACAUGGACAUGAAGCUACGGCGGCGACGAAGACGAUAUCGACAUGGGGCUGCGGCGACGAUGAUGACGACGACAUCGACAUCGACACAGGGCUACGGCGGCGACGAAGACGACGACAUCAUCAUGGCGCUGCGGUGGCGGCGGCGAUGACGACAUCAACACCAUCAACACGGCCUUGUGGAGGCGCCGACGUCGACGACAUCAACACGGCCUUGUGGAGGCACCGACGUCGACGACAUCAACACGGCCUUGUGGAGGCGCCGACGUCGACGACAUAG
This 330-nucleotide ribosomal RNA is filed under the name Triticum aestivum (bread wheat). RNAcentral's name for it is "partial small subunit ribosomal RNA". Lineage: Eukaryota; Viridiplantae; Streptophyta; Magnoliopsida; Poales; Poaceae. The record is from RNAcentral.